This is a long non-coding RNA of Heterocephalus glaber (naked mole-rat), 2986 nucleotides long. RefSeq lists it as uncharacterized. Lineage: Eukaryota; Metazoa; Chordata; Mammalia; Rodentia; Bathyergidae. The record is from RefSeq and is a predicted model, not a curated record.
CCAGAACACAUUUUAUUUGCUCUCAUAUCAAAUUUAUAAGUUUCUAAAUUCUAAAUUCUUUGUUUUAAAAAUGAAUUCUUAUUGUGGGCUGAAUAAAUCAUGUAAUAAUAUUCAAAUGCAAUUAUCCUGCAAUUUCUCCAUCAUUUAGUUAAAGAGUGAAUUAAGCAAAAACUUAGAAAUAAUUUGGAUGGCUAUUGAGUUGGUAUUUAAAGAGUAUCAGGAUGUGUUUGUGUGUGUUUUUAUACAUGUAGGUAUGUUUUUUUCAUGUAUGUAUGUUUUAAGAAAAUCGUGUAGAAAAACAAACUAAAAAAGAGAAUAGAGGUACAGAAUGGAUUACCAAUUGAUGUUUUAAAUGCUAAUUUUUUUUUAAAUUGAUUAGAAUUUUUUCAUAUUUACUUUGAUUUUGCCUCAUUCUAUUUGUGCUGGGGAAAGUACUCAAAGAACGGGUAGAAUUAAUUUAAUUAUCAGUUUAAAAAGACUUCAAAACAUAAACUCAAUUUUUUUUUAAUCUUUGAAUUUAACGUCCUAAAAUAUCAGGUCUAAAAAUGUACUAUAAUGCCAUCUACUGCGAUUAGAUAGCUGGAAUAGAGAAGCUUCUGUGUGCUUGAUUCCCAGCUUCUGCUGGUAAAUUCCUGUUUUCUAGUUAUGUUUGUGGCAGUCAACAGAUGACCGAGUAAGUUUCCUGUGUGUUAAGGGACGAAGAUAUCAAGGAUCUGCCCCUCUUUCUUUUUAUCUCCCUCUUCUCCUCCUUUUCCCCUCUCUUUUACAACACACACACACACACACACACACACACACACACUCAGAUAGGUACUUUUUUUUGGUUAUACAUACUUGAGCACUAUGUACUGGUAAUACAAAUGAGCAUAUAAAAUUGAAUUAUUAUUGACAUCAUUAUUUUCAUGCUGGGGAUCAAACCUAGGGCCUUGUGUGUGCUAGGCAUGUGGUCUAGCACUGAGUUACAUACCCAGUCCCCUGAUGUUUCUUUACCUCCCUCCCUUCCUUCCUUCCCACCCCUCCCUCUUGUCUUCCAUUCCUCCCUCCCUCCAUUCUUUUUUUUCUUCCUUUGAAAAUGCUGUUUGGGUGUUCUAGAAGGAGCAUUUGUUACAGAUAUUUUCAGUAAUUCUAUGAUUACAGGUCACCCUGCCUUGGAGCCAGCCAAUUAUGGACUGAAACCUCUACAAACUUACCCAGGAAGGUGCGACUGGAGUAUCAGCCUGAUGGACUGUGGGUCUGCCAAAGGAUUGUUGGAGCACACUUGAAGAUACCUGAUGCUGAUGUAUGGAUUACCUUCCUAAUGAGGCGGUACCAUUUCUGAGAAGUGAAGCAAUGAGAUGGAGGGAGCUACACAUAGCAUUGGAAGAGACAAAGUCCUCACAGCCCCAAGUUUUGGCCUGUACACUCUGCUGUGAAUUCCAGACCAAGCCUACCCUGCGGCGACAUCAGUCUCCUGUAUAUACACUGCAAGUGCAAAGACCUACAUUAGAAAAAACAAACUGCAUUAUAUGUAACAAAGUGCUGUUAAUCCUGAAUGUUUCAAAAUAUUAGCUUUUCGUUUGUUUGUCUUAAGGGAGAUUGGACUUGCAAGAAGGGAGAUGAGUCUGAAAGGCUGCUGUGCAAAGAACUAUGGAGCGAUAGGCAGACAGUUGUACAGCUUCAACUGAACCCAGUAGGCCUGAAAGGAAAGGGCAGUGGGAACGAUUCCCAGGUAGCUCUCAGUGAUUGACAAGUUAGGUCCUAAAACAUGGGCAUGAAGAAAAGGGUCAGAGGGAACUCUUGGACUCCAGGGCUGGGGAAUUUUAUAACAGGAUCCUGACACAUAGAUAAACGAUAAGGGAGAGAGAAGUUGAGUUAGCCAGUAAUGACAAACAUGAAGUUCACUGCUUGUUUGGGUAAAAUGUGGAGUCCUAAUUUUAGGUAAGAUGCUGCUGAGUCACUAAGAGUUUUCAACACCAAAGGAAAAAAAAAUGUGACCAUGGCAAUGGAAGAAACAACAGAAUGGUGCAUCUGGCAUCUUAGAUGCCUAACAGCUGGCUUCUAGUCUCCAUCAGGAGUAAAAUGACAGAUUGCACAGAGUCUAUAGAGAAGACAUGACUCAGAAAGAGUGGCUAGAAAGAGUUGUGGGCAUGCUGAGAACUGUACUGCUAGCUGAGAUGUUACAGUGAAGGAUGGACUAUAAGAUACUUCAAAGGUUUGAGAACCAGGUUAGGGCUAUAGGAUCACAGACAAAAUGGAGGAAAUGGAAGGGGAGACUUAGAUUUUUUUGUUAUGGGUUUCAAUUCAUUCAAAGUCACUUAGAUUGUAAUAAUGAGGUUCAUUUAAGACCUGGGACUUGCUAAAAUAAUAUGGUUAAAGCCAUGAAACAUUAAGAUUGUACUUGCCAUAACACAACCCGUUUGGGCUAUUAUUAAUCUAAUCUCGUAAGUGCACAUAAUACUCAAGCAAGCAAACCAAAGCUUUGAAUUCGGUUUACACUAAUAGUACGAAUAUCUUGUGGGAUUUUCACUGGGAUUCUCUGUACCAUUAACCAAUUACUAGUGGCUAGAACACUAGCCCACAUGUCGCUAUUUCUGGUUAGGGGAUUUUCUUGUCUGCCCGACUAAAUCUUCUAAUUAAAUGCAAUGGUACUACAUUCAUUUCAGUUCUCCAUUCACAAUGCACAGUGGAAAGUAUUGUUGCUUUAAGUAAACAGCUUUAAGAAUUGGUGAGCCACACACAUUGUAUUGCUGAUUUGUGACAUUCUUCCUGUAAAAUAGGAUGACUUUGUGGAACAAGCAAAGGUCAGACCUAGGAAAGAGAAGUCCUUUACUGACAAUAGGCAACAUCUUUAUGGUCAAAGUUACUGCUUCCAGUUGCAUCUUCCAACUAUUUCCUUUCAUUUAUCUCUGUUAGUUUCAUCAAAAGUUAUAUUUAAAUUUGUUAUAUUUAAAACUUUUUUGAAAUUUAAACCUCAAAUAGGGACAAAAUAACACAGCUAUAGUCUCUC